AAAUUGAAGAGUUUGAUCAUGGCUCAGAUUGAACGCUGGCGGCAGGCCUAACACAUGCAAGUCGAACGGUAACAGGAAUCAGCUUGCUGAUUCGCUGACGAGUGGCGGACGGGUGAGUAAUGUCUGGGAAACUGCCUGAUGGAGGGGGAUAACUACUGGAAACGGUAGCUAAUACCGCAUAAUGUCGCAAGACCAAAGAGGGGGACCUUCGGGCCUCUUGCCAUCGGAUGUGCCCAGAUGGGAUUAGCUUGUUGGUGAGGUAACGGCUCACCAAGGCGACGAUCCCUAGCUGGUCUGAGAGGAUGACCAGCCACACUGGAACUGAGACACGGUCCAGACUCCUACGGGAGGCAGCAGUGGGGAAUAUUGCACAAUGGGCGCAAGCCUGAUGCAGCCAUGCCGCGUGUAUGAAGAAGGCCUUCGGGUUGUAAAGUACUUUCAGCGGGGAGGAAGGGAGUAAAGUUAAUACCUUUGCUCAUUGACGUUACCCGCAGAAGAAGCACCGGCUAACUCCGUGCCAGCAGCCGCGGUAAUACGGAGGGUGCAAGCGUUAAUCGGAAUUACUGGGCGUAAAGCGCACGCAGGCGGUUUGUUAAGUCAGAUGUGAAAUCCCCGGGCUCAACCUGGGAACUGCAUCUGAUACUGGCAAGCUUGAGUCUCGUAGAGGGGGGUAGAAUUCCAGGUGUAGCGGUGAAAUGCGUAGAGAUCUGGAGGAAUACCGGUGGCGAAGGCGGCCCCCUGGACGAAGACUGACGCUCAGGUGCGAAAGCGUGGGGAGCAAACAGGAUUAGAUACCCUGGUAGUCCACGCCGUAAACGAUGUCGACUUGGAGGUUGUGCCCUUGAGGCGUGGCUUCCGGAGCUAACGCGUUAAGUCGACCGCCUGGGGAGUACGGCCGCAAGGUUAAAACUCAAAUGAAUUGACGGGGGCCCGCACAAGCGGUGGAGCAUGUGGUUUAAUUCGAUGCAACGCGAAGAACCUUACCUGGUCUUGACAUCCACGGAAGUUUUCAGAGAUGAGAAUGUGCCUUCGGGAACCGUGAGACAGGUGCUGCAUGGCUGUCGUCAGCUCGUGUUGUGAAAUGUUGGGUUAAGUCCCGCAACGAGCGCAACCCUUAUCCUUUGUUGCCAGCGGUCCGGCCGGGAACUCAAAGGAGACUGCCAGUGAUAAACUGGAGGAAGGUGGGGACGACGUCAAGUCAUCAUGGCCCUUACGACCAGGGCUACACACGUGCUACAAUGGCGCAUACAAAGAGAAGCGACCUCGCGAGAGCAAGCGGACCUCAUAAAGUGCGUCGUAGUCCGGAUUGGAGUCUGCAACUCGACUCCAUGAAGUCGGAAUCGCUAGUAAUCGUGGAUCAGAAUGCCACGGUGAAUACGUUCCCGGGCCUUGUACACACCGCCCGUCACACCAUGGGAGUGGGUUGCAAAAGAAGUAGGUAGCUUAACCUUCGGGAGGGCGCUUACCACUUUGUGAUUCAUGACUGGGGUGAAGUCGUAACAAGGUAACCGUAGGGGAACCUGCGGUUGGAUCACCUCCUU
RNAcentral lists this ribosomal RNA (1541 nucleotides) under Shigella flexneri. RNAcentral describes it as "bacterial SSU rRNA". It matches the Rfam family "Bacterial small subunit ribosomal RNA". Lineage: Bacteria; Pseudomonadati; Pseudomonadota; Gammaproteobacteria; Enterobacterales; Enterobacteriaceae. The record is from RNAcentral.